Molecule: ribosomal RNA, 253 nt
Filed under: uncultured bacterium
Lineage: Bacteria
Description: partial 16S ribosomal RNA
Rfam family: Bacterial small subunit ribosomal RNA
Source: RNAcentral
UACGGGGGGUGCGAGCGUUGUUCGGAAUUACUGGGCGUAAAGGGCGCGUAGGCGGUUUGCUAAGUUGGAUGUGAAAACUCUGGGCUUAACCCAGAGCCUGCAUCCAAAACUGGCAAACUUGAGUACUGGAGGGGAAAGCGGAAUUCCUGGUGUAGCGGUGGAAUGCGUAGAGAUCCGGAAGAACACCGGUGGCGAAGGCGGCCUGCUGGGCAGUUGCUGACACUGAGGCGCGACAGCGUGGGGAGCAAACAGG